UCGAGAAUCUUCGGCAAUGAGCGCAAGCUUGACCGAGCGACGCCGCGUGCGGGAUGAAGGCCUUCGGGUUGUAAACCGCUUUGGUCCGAGAGAAAGGGCAACUUGAUCGAUCGGAGAAACAAGGACGGGCUAAGUUCGUGCCAGCAGCCGCGGUAAGACGAACCGUCCAAACGUUAUUCGGAAUCACUGGGCUUAAAGGGCGCGUAGGCGGCCGAGCGGGUCGCGGGUGAAAUCCUCCAGCUUAACUGGAGAACUGCCCUCGAUACCACUGCGGCUCGAGGAAGGAAGGGGUCAUGGGAACUGUCGGUGGAGCGGUGAAAUGCGUUGAUAUCGACAGGAACGCCUGUGGCGAAAGCGCAUGACUGGUCCUUUUCUGACGCUGAGGCGCGAAAGCCAGGGG
This 400-nucleotide ribosomal RNA is filed under the name uncultured bacterium. RNAcentral describes it as "bacterial SSU rRNA". It matches the Rfam family "Bacterial small subunit ribosomal RNA", at positions 355 to 766 of the family's 1533-position model. The record is from RNAcentral.